GCCUGGAGGGGGUUGUCCAAGCAACCCCGGUGGAUAGCAAAUCUAAGUGAUGCGCUAGUAGCUUCCACCCAUACAGGGGAAAAAACACUUCGUUUCGAACUCCUCUCGCCAUGGGAACUUGACUUUGUUAUUUCUUUGUUUGUCCGCAGCUUUCAAAUCCAAGACUUCGGAAUCUGAGUCCCGCAGUUCGCGCAUCUACUCGCCUGUACUUGGAGCAGGGAAGCUUUCUUAGAGAUGCAGUGGCCCUCAAAGUGACAGAAAUCCAGCCAGAUGAAGCUCCUGUGAGAGAAGGGUGUAUUGUCCAGGUCACGCUGAAGGAGGAGAUUUUCCUUUUGGGGGCUGGAGAGAUGGCUCAGAGGUUAAGAGCACUGACUGCUCUUCCAGAGGUCCUGAGUUCAAUUCCCAGCAACCACAUGGUGGCUCAGAACCAUCCAUAAUGAGAUCUGGUGCCCUCUUCUGGUGUGCAGAUAUAUAUAGAAGCAGAAUGUUGUAUACAUAAUAAAUAAAUAAAACCUUAAAAAAAGAUUUUCCUUUUGUUAUGCAUUAUUAAUCCUCAGAUUUUGUGUAUUAGAGACCAGAUUCAUGGUGAUAGUAAAUGGGUACCAUUGGUUCUAAGCAGUUUGCUCAACGGUCUCACCCUAAGUAUUUAUAGAGUUAGGGUGCAGCAGGCAACAGAUUCCUUGUUAGUAUUAUUUUUCAAUUUCAUGAUAUUCUUUUCUAAAAUGUCACAUUAUAG
RNAcentral lists this long non-coding RNA (736 nucleotides) under Cricetulus griseus (Chinese hamster). RNAcentral describes it as "lncRNA (ENSCGRG00015032214.1)". Lineage: Eukaryota; Metazoa; Chordata; Mammalia; Rodentia; Cricetidae. The record is from RNAcentral.